RNAcentral lists this ribosomal RNA (2550 nucleotides) under Shigella sonnei. Its description in RNAcentral is "bacterial LSU rRNA". It matches the Rfam family "Bacterial large subunit ribosomal RNA", at positions 239 to 2812 of the family's 2925-position model. The record is from RNAcentral. Lineage: Bacteria; Pseudomonadati; Pseudomonadota; Gammaproteobacteria; Enterobacterales; Enterobacteriaceae.
CCCAGUAGCGGCGAAGCGAACGGGGAGGAGCCCAGAGCCUGAAUCAGUGUGUGUGUUAGUGGAAGCGUCUGGAAAGGCGCGCGAUACAGGGUGACAGCCCCGUACACAAAAAUACACAUAUUGUGAGCUCGAUGAGUAGGGCGGGACACGUGGUAUCCUGUCUGAAUAUGGGGGGACCAUCCUCCAAGGCUAAAUACUCCUGACUGACCGAUAGUGAACCAGUACCGUGAGGGAAAGGCGAAAAGAACCCCGGCGAGGGGAGUGAAAAAGAACCUGAAACCGUGUACGUACAAGCAGUGGGAGCACGCUUAGGCGUGUGACUGCGUACCUUUUGUAUAAUGGGUCAGCGACUUAUAUUCUGUAGCAAGGUUAACCGAAUAGGGGAGCCGAAGGGAAACCGAGUCUUAACUGGGCGUUAAGUUGCAGGGUAUAGACCCGAAACCCGGUGAUCUAGCCAUGGGCAGGUUGAAGGUUGGGUAACACUAACUGGAGGACCGAACCGACUAAUGUUGAAAAAUUAGCGGAUGACUUGUGGCUGGGGGUGAAAGGCCAAUCAAACCGGGAGAUAGCUGGUUCUCCCCGAAAGCUAUUUAGGUAGCGCCUCGUGAAUUCAUCUCCGGGGGUAGAGCACUGUUUCGGCAAGGGGGUCAUCCCGACUUACCAACCCGAUGCAAACUGCGAAUACCGGAGAAUGUUAUCACGGGAGACACACGGCGGGUGCUAACGUCCGUCGUGAAGAGGGAAACAACCCAGACCGCCAGCUAAGGUCCCAAAGUCAUGGUUAAGUGGGAAACGAUGUGGGAAGGCCCAGACAGCCAGGAUGUUGGCUUAGAAGCAGCCAUCAUUUAAAGAAAGCGUAAUAGCUCACUGGUCGAGUCGGCCUGCGCGGAAGAUGUAACGGGGCUAAACCAUGCACCGAAGCUGCGGCAGCGACGCUUAUGCGUUGUUGGGUAGGGGAGCGUUCUGUAAGCCUGCGAAGGUGUGCUGUGAGGCAUGCUGGAGGUAUCAGAAGUGCGAAUGCUGACAUAAGUAACGAUAAAGCGGGUGAAAAGCCCGCUCGCCGGAAGACCAAGGGUUCCUGUCCAACGUUAAUCGGGGCAGGGUGAGUCGACCCCUAAGGCGAGGCCGAAAGGCGUAGUCGAUGGGAAACAGGUUAAUAUUCCUGUACUUGGUGUUACUGCGAAGGGGGGACGGAGAAGGCUAUGUUGGCCGGGCGACGGUUGUCCCGGUUUAAGCGUGUAGGCUGGUUUUCCAGGCAAAUCCGGAAAAUCAAGGCUGAGGCGUGAUGACGAGGCACUACGGUGCUGAAGCAACAAAUGCCCUGCUUCCAGGAAAAGCCUCUAAGCAUCAGGUAACAUCAAAUCGUACCCCAAACCGACACAGGUGGUCAGGUAGAGAAUACCAAGGCGCUUGAGAGAACUCGGGUGAAGGAACUAGGCAAAAUGGUGCCGUAACUUCGGGAGAAGGCACGCUGAUAUGUAGGUGAAGUCCCUUGCGGAUGGAGCUGAAAUCAGUCGAAGAUACCAGCUGGCUGCAACUGUUUAUUAAAAACACAGCACUGUGCAAACACGAAAGUGGACGUAUACGGUGUGACGCCUGCCCGGUGCCGGAAGGUUAAUUGAUGGGGUCAGCGCAAGCGAAGCUCUUGAUCGAAGCCCCGGUAAACGGCGGCCGUAACUAUAACGGUCCUAAGGUAGCGAAAUUCCUUGUCGGGUAAGUUCCGACCUGCACGAAUGGCGUAAUGAUGGCCAGGCUGUCUCCACCCGAGACUCAGUGAAAUUGAACUCGCUGUGAAGAUGCAGUGUACCCGCGGCAAGACGGAAAGACCCCGUGAACCUUUACUAUAGCUUGACACUGAACAUUGAGCCUUGAUGUGUAGGAUAGGUGGGAGGCUUUGAAGUGUGGACGCCAGUCUGCAUGGAGCCGGCCUUGAAAUACCACCCUUUAAUGUUUGAUGUUCUAACGUGGACCCGUGAUCCGGGUUGCGGACAGUGUCUGGUGGGUAGUUUGACUGGGGCGGUCUCCUCCUAAAGAGUAACGGAGGAGCACGAAGGUUGGCUAAUCCUGGUCGGACAUCAGGAGGUUAGUGCAAUGGCAUAAGCCAGCUUGACUGCGAGCGUGACGGCGCGAGCAGGUGCGAAAGCAGGUCAUAGUGAUCCGGUGGUUCUGAAUGGAAGGGCCAUCGCUCAACGGAUAAAAGGUACUCCGGGGAUAACAGGCUGAUACCGCCCAAGAGUUCAUAUCGACGGCGGUGUUUGGCACCUCGAUGUCGGCUCAUCACAUCCUGGGGCUGAAGUAGGUCCCAAGGGUAUGGCUGUUCGCCAUUUAAAGUGGUACGCGAGCUGGGUUUAGAACGUCGUGAGACAGUUCGGUCCCUAUCUGCCGUGGGCGCUGGAGAACUGAGGGGGGCUGCUCCUAGUACGAGAGGACCGGAGUGGACGCAUCACUGGUGUUCGGGUUGUCAUGCCAAUGGCACUGCCCGGUAGCUAAAUGCGGAAGAGAUAAGUGCUGAAAGCAUCUAAGCACGAAACUUGCCCCGAGAUGAGUUCU